GAGAGUUUGAUCCUGGCUCAGAUUGAACGCUGGCGGUAGGCUUAACACAUGCAAGUCGAGCGGUAACAGAGAAUAGCUUGCUAUUCUGCUGACGAGCGGCGGACGGGUGAGUAACGCGUAGGAAACUGCCUAGUAGUGGGGGAUAGCCCAGAGAAAUUUGGAUUAAUACCGCAUACGCCCUACGGCUACGGGGGAAAAGGGGCUUCGGCUCUUGCUAUUAGAUGUGCCUGCGUAAGAUUAGCUAGUUGGUGAGGUAAUGGCUCACCAAGGCGACGAUCUUUAGCUGGUCUGAGAGGAUGAUCAGCCACACUGGAACUGAGACACGGUCCAGACUCCUACGGGAGGCAGCAGUGGGGAAUAUUGCACAAUGGGCGAAAGCCUGAUGCAGGCAUGCCUCGGGUGUGAAGAAGGCUCUAGGGUUGUAAAGCACUUUAAGCAGGGAGGAAGGCCAGUUAGUUAAUAUCUGACUGGAUUGACGUUACCUGCAGAAUAAGCACCGGCUAACUCCGUGCCAGCAGCCGCGGUAAUACGGAGGGUGCAAGCGUUAAUCGGAAUUACUGGGCGUAAAGCGCGCGUAGGCGGUUUGCUAAGCCAGAUGUGAAAGCCCCGGGCUCAACCUGGGAACUGCAUUUGGAACUGGCAGGCUAGAGUACGGUAGAGGGUGGUAGAAUUUCCUGUGUAGCGGUGAAAUGCGUAGAUAUAGGAAGGAAUACCAGUGGCGAGGCGGCCACCUGGACUGAUACUGACGCUGAGGUGCGAAAGCGUGGGGAGCGAACAGGAUUAGAUACCCUGGUAGUCCACGCCGUAAACGAUGUCAACUAGCCGUAGGGAUCCUUGAGGUCUUUGUGGCGCAGCUAACGCAAUAAGUUGACCGCCUGGGGAGUACGGCCGCAAGGUUAAAACUCAAAUGAAUUGACGGGGGCCCGCACAAGCGGUGGAGCAUGUGGUUUAAUUCGAUGCAACGCGAAGAACCUUACCUACUCUUGACAUCCUCAGAAGAGCCCAGAGAUGGGCUUGUGCCUUCGGGAACUGAGAGACAGGUGCUGCAUGGCUGUCGUCAGCUCGUGUUGUGAAAUGUUGGGUUAAGUCCCGCAACGAGCGCAACCCUUGUCCUUGUUUGCCAGCACGUAAUGGUGGGAACUCCAGGGAGACUGCCGGUGAUAAACCGGAGGAAGGCGGGGACGACGUCAAGUCAUCAUGGCCCUUACGACCAGGGCUACACACGUGCUACACUGGGUCGUACAGAGGGUUGCUAAGCAGCGAUGGUGAGCGAAUCCCACAAAGUACGUCGUAGUCCGGAUUGGAGUCCGCAACUCGACUCCAUGAAGUCGGAAUCGCUAGUAAUCGUGAAUCAGAAUGUCACGGUGAAUACGUUCCCGGGCCUUGUACCCACCGCCCGUCACACCAUGGGAGUGGGCUGCAAAAGAAGUGGGUAGUUUAACCUUCGGGAGCACGCUCACCACUUUGUGGUUCAUGACUGGGGUGAAGUCGUAACAAGGUAGCCGUAG
RNAcentral lists this ribosomal RNA (1508 nucleotides) under uncultured prokaryote. Its description in RNAcentral is "partial 16S ribosomal RNA". It matches the Rfam family "Bacterial small subunit ribosomal RNA". The record is from RNAcentral.